GAAGUCAGUGACCCAACCGCAAGGAGGGAGCUGCCGAAGGCGGGACGGAUGACUGGGGUGAAGUCGUAACAAGGUAGCCGUAUCGGAAGGUGCGGCUGGAUCACCUCCUUUCUAAGGAA
Molecule: ribosomal RNA, 119 nt
Filed under: Blautia sp. An81
Lineage: Bacteria; Bacillati; Bacillota; Clostridia; Lachnospirales; Lachnospiraceae
Description: partial 16S ribosomal RNA
Rfam family: Bacterial small subunit ribosomal RNA
Source: RNAcentral